UCCUUGAUUUAUCAUAGAUUAUAUAACAAUGAUUUAAACUAACUUCGGUUGGAUCAUAUAAGGUUCAUUCCAUAUCAAGUUAAAUGUUAAAGUAUCCUCCUUUGUUUCUCUAUGCUCAAUUGACUCAAAUAUCCCCUCUUGGUAAUUCUUUUAAAUUACAUUAAAGAAAAUAUUAUUUUCUUUUUGAUUUGUUUCUUUGUCGUCUCAUUUAGAUCAUUAGAGUUACAAACCAAUGUUAUAUAUGCAUCUCACUUUUUAGUCAUGUCAAUUUAAGCGGUUAGGAAAUUUAUGGAAUAAGCUAAUUACACAGUUAUUGUACGGCAGCUUUGCUGUUGCUUUCAUACUGUUGAGUGUUAUACUUCUACCUUGAUUUAGUUUCCCUUAUAAUGGCAGCUUUGCCAUGCUGUAAAUUAAUAAUUUCUUUUCUAAUUCUCAUGUACUGAAGUACUUACAUAUUUGUAAUAGAAAAUUAUUGCUUUCUUUUAUGCCCAUCACAUAGAGGAUAUAGUAUAAUACUCCCUCCGGUCCUAUUUAUAAGAGAAUUUUGGGUCAAUAAAAGUUGAUGUAUCUAGUUAAAAAUUCAGUCCAAAUACAUUCACUUUUGUUGACCUAAAUUUCUCUUAUAAAUAGGACCGGAGGUAGUACCACCCUACGACCAAAAGGAAACUCAUAAAAGGAUG
RNAcentral lists this long non-coding RNA (680 nucleotides) under Medicago truncatula (barrel medic). RNAcentral describes it as "long non-coding RNA (MTRU_LNC006732)". The record is from RNAcentral. Lineage: Eukaryota; Viridiplantae; Streptophyta; Magnoliopsida; Fabales; Fabaceae.